AUCUUAACAACAACCUGUAAUACAAUACCAAAACAACAUAAAAAUUUUACAUGCUAGCUAGCCAACGUACCUAUGUCUUCUCUUUAUAUUUUGGCUUACUAAUUUAAAUUAAAUUUUGACCUGUCACUUUAGGCUUCUUUCAAAAAAAAAAAAAAAGGUGUUGAAAUUCUUCAAUUUUUUUGUGGAUUUGUUUUAGAAGGUGCUAAUUUUGUAGAUCAAAAGGGGGAAAAAAACCCUGAAACUUUAGUUCUUGCAAGAUAUUAGACUUCAUUUAUAAAGUUAUCCACUUUGUAGCUUGCGUCUUCCUUGGACUCUGCAUCUUAUUAAGUCUGACUUUUCGACAACUAAUAUCAACGCGAGCCUGUUUAGAUAAGUUGAUUGGAACCACUCUCUAGUGCUGUGUUGAUGACUUCUGUAGCUCCUGCUAUGAUUGCAUGUUUAAUGUUGUUGUAUUUAGCUUUCUUGUUAUGAUGUUCAAUAUUUUUCUGUAUCACCUUGAACCUUUUGUCACCUGGGUAAUAUUCUCUCGUUCUUGGAGUUAAAUUUAUAUUUUCUGGAAGUUCAGUAGAUGGAACAAUGUUGGUUUGAUUUUCUAUUUUUAGGAAAGUUUCAUUUGAGCUGAUUAAUUUGAUCACGAAAGUGCUAUUUAUGUUCAAGUUAUAGUAUUCUAAUAUCGUCCAUCUACAAAACUAACAGUUUCUCCUACAUGGAAAAUGAUAUACAUGAAUUAUUUGUCGUAACUUGGUUCUUGGAGUUGUCCAAUGUUCAUUGGUGGUUAUUAUGGUUCUUUUUCUAUUUAUUAAACAUGCACAAAGAGAGUGAGGUAGUAGUUAUUAUUGAAAGUUGAUUUAGGGCCCGUUUGGCAUUGCUCUUGAAAAAUCAAAAUGAACUUUUGAAAUUCAAAAGCUGCUUUUGGACUUAUUUGACUAAUUUUAUGAAUCCUUCGUUGGGGAAGAAUUUAUAAACGAUCUAAUUUAUAAAUUGAUAGAAAUAAGUGAUAGAUAGGUGAAUAAUACAUGUGAAUCCUUUGAAAUGUGUUGUUGAAAAUGAAAUUUUAUCAUUUAUAAAUCAUUUUAAGGCGAAUGGAGGCUAACCAACCAAUUUUCCAUUUAUGCAUAUUGAACUUGUAUAAUUCGGGCUCAUUUAUUGGAUUGUUUUGGUACCAUCUUCUAUGCUCUUGUAGUGGGUAUUAAAAUUAAAUUUUUAGUAAAAUUUUGAUAAUAGUUGAU
RNAcentral lists this long non-coding RNA (1229 nucleotides) under Olea europaea subsp. europaea. Lineage: Eukaryota; Viridiplantae; Streptophyta; Magnoliopsida; Lamiales; Oleaceae. The record is from RNAcentral.